AAACUAACAAGGAUUCCCUUAGUAGCGGCGAGCGAAGCGGGAUGAGCUCAAAUUUGAAAUCUGGCGUCUUUCAGGCGUCCGAGUUGUAAUCUAUAGAAGCGUUUUCUGUGCUGGACCGUGUCCAAGUCCCUUGGAACAGGGUAUCAAAGAGGGUGACAAUCCCGUACUUGACACGACCACCAGUGCUCUGUGAUACGUUUUCUACGAGUCGAGUUGUUUGGGAAUGCAGCUCAAAAUGGGUGGUAAAUUCCAUCUAAAGCUAAAUAUUGGCGAGAGACCGAUAGCGAACAAGUACCGUGAGGGAAAGAUGAAAAGCACUUUGGAAAGAGAGUUAAACAGUACGUGAAAUUGUUGAAAGGGAAACGAUUGAAGUCAGUCGUGUCUAUUGGUUUCAGCCGGUUCUGCCGGUGUAUUACCUUUAGACGGGUCAACAUCAGUUUUGGACGGCGGAUAAUAGCAGUUUGAAUGUGGCACCUCCGGGUGUGUUAUAGCUUUCUGUUGCAUACGCUGUCCGAGACUGAGGACUGCAGCUUGCCGCAAGGCCGGGGUCUCGACCCACGUUACGAGCUUAGGAUGUUGACAUAAUGGCUUUAAACGAC
Molecule: ribosomal RNA, 599 nt
Filed under: Derxomyces sp.
Lineage: Eukaryota; Fungi; Basidiomycota; Tremellomycetes; Tremellales; Bulleribasidiaceae
Description: partial large subunit ribosomal RNA
Rfam family: Eukaryotic large subunit ribosomal RNA
Source: RNAcentral